Non-coding RNA from Xylariomycetidae sp. FL0641, 108 nucleotides. The record is from the annotation of a GenBank genome assembly. Lineage: Eukaryota; Fungi; Ascomycota; Sordariomycetes.
GACACUUUGGCGGAGAGGUUAACGCGAUGCCCUGCUAUUCUCUAUCCCACGAUAUAGCUAGCCUAGGCAUUUCCUUCGGGAGCGCAGGUUCGAAUCCUGCAGGUGUCG